Molecule: long non-coding RNA, 289 nt
Filed under: Elaeis guineensis (African oil palm)
Lineage: Eukaryota; Viridiplantae; Streptophyta; Magnoliopsida; Arecales; Arecaceae
Description: long non-coding RNA (EGUI_LNC000299)
Source: RNAcentral
UUUUUUUUUUUUUUUUUUUUUUUUUUUUUUUUUUUUUUUUUAAGGAAAACGGGUAGGUUUUUCUUUAGUCAGAUUUAUGACUUCAACUGCAUGAGGUCCGUCGGGCUUCAUGGGAAUGUCGUCGAUUGAAGAGUUCAUAUCCAAAUUGAUUUGAUUGGCUCGGAACAAAAAGUAGUUUGUAUGGAUAAGCUCACUUUCGAUUCUCUUUGGAAAAGUCAUGUCCAUGGGGCAUUUUGUGCUUCAAGACAUAAUUUGAAUGGUGAGUAAUUAUCUAGAAAGAAAGCGGGCA